AUUGAACGCUGGCGGCAGGCCUAACACAUGCAAGUCGAGCGGAUGAAGGGAGCUUGCUCCUGGAUUCAGCGGCGGACGGGCGAGUAACGCCUAGGAAUCUGCCUGGUAGUGGGGGAUAACGUCCGGAAACGGGCGCUAAUACCGCAUACGUCCUGAGGGAGAAAGUGGGGGAUCUUCGGACCUCACGCUAUCAGAUGAGCCUAGGUCGGAUUAGCUAGUUGGUGGGGUAAAGGCCUACCAAGGCGACGAUCCGUAACUGGUCUGAGAGGAUGAUCAGUCACACUGGAACUGAGACACGGUCCAGACUCCUACGGGAGGCAGCAGUGGGGAAUAUUGGACAAUGGGCGAAAGCCUGAUCCAGCCAUGCCGCGUGUGUGAAGAAGGUCUUCGGAUUGUAAAGCACUUUAAGUUGGGAGGAAGGGCAGUAAGUUAAUACCUUGCUGUUUUGACGUUACCAACAGAAUAAGCACCGGCUAACUUCGUG
Molecule: ribosomal RNA, 484 nt
Filed under: uncultured bacterium
Lineage: Bacteria
Description: partial 16S ribosomal RNA
Rfam family: Bacterial small subunit ribosomal RNA
Source: RNAcentral